UGAUAGGUGAGUUUGGUGAUGGCUCUGAUUGAACGCUGUCCAAAUGCUUGACACAUGCUAAUCGUACGUUUAAUUUAUGCUCUUCGGAUCUCAGUAUCAGGGCGCCAUGAGUGUUGUAGUGGUGUAAUAUCUUAUAUAAGAUAUUGGAGGUUUAUUAAAAGUGGUGUACAGGUGAGUGAAAGAUAAUCGGCCGACCUUGAAGAGAGGGGAUAAAAAAUCCCUCAUAAAUAAAAAAUAGUCGGCUAGCUAUUUGUUUGAGCGCACCUCGUAAGAUACUUCAUAUCCCCCAGAUCCCCCUCCGGGGGAUGAGGGGGAUGAGAGGUGCACUCAAACAGGAUAAAGGGUGUAAUAGCCGCUUUAAGAGGAAAAGAUAUCUGCGGGAUAGGUAGUAGUUAAGGUAAUGGCUCAACUAGCCAAUAAUUCUCGGAGUCGAAGCUGAAAUGGUUGAUCGACCACAUUGGGGAUGAAAAAAUCCCAAGGCGUAUUAGUACAGCAGUGAGGAAUUUUGGUCAAUGGCUAACGGCUGAACUGGCAACUUGGACGAACGGACUAUAAUUCAUAUGAACUAAUAUUCCCGAGUUUGCAUAAUUUUGUAGAUAGUACGGAAUAGUAGAGGAUCCUUUUUAGGAAUAAAGUUCUUAGUAUAUAUUGGAUAAUGACAGAUAUAUAUCUUAUGCCCUGACCAAUUACGUGCCAGCAGUCGCGGUAAUACGUAUGGGACUAGUGUUAUUCAUCUUAAUUAGGUUUAAAGGGUACCUAGACGGCUAAUGUCCACCUCUAAAAGGUAACUAGUUAGCUAGAGUUUUAUAUGAAGGGGCCGAACUUGUGGAGGAGAGUUUAAAUUCUUUGAUACCUAGAGGACGGAUAAAGGCGAAGGCAGCCUCUUAUGUAAAAACUGACGUUGAAGGACGAAGGCAUUGCGGCACGAAAAGGAUUAGGGACCCUAGUAGUCUUUGCAGAAAAUGAUGAAUGCCAUAGGUUAGGUUAAUCCUUAGUCUAUAAACGAAAGUGUAAGCAUUUCACCUCAAGAGUAAUGUGGCAACGCAGGAACUGAAUAUCUGUUUAAUUCGAUGAUCCACGAAAAAUCUUACCACAAUUUGAAUAGAAUAAAGUAAUCAAAAUAUAAGGGUGAACAAAUAUCUCUUCUUUUUUAGUAAAGGUAAUACCUACUAUAAAGUUAAUAUUUAUUCUCAAUUAGUUUUAGGAAGUUUAUUCAUACAAGUGUUGCACGGCUGUUUCCAGUUAAUGUUGUGAAACUGUGGCAAAAGCCAUGGAAUUAACGUAAACCUGAGCUUUAUUUGUAAAAAUAUUUUGAUAGAGCUACAUCAUCUGCUAUAUUGGAUUUGAUAACAGGGACUAAGACAAGUCAUCAUGGCCUUAAUAUUGUGGGCUAUAGACGUGCCACAUAUACCAUAACAAAGAGAUGCGAAAAUUCGAGUUUUAGCUAACCUCAGUGCGCCGUUUAACGUAUCAUACGCCCGUCAGCAACUAUGCAAUCGUAAUACAAAGAUGCAAGAAACUUCUUGGUUACAAUUAGCUAUAGUAAAGGCACUGACCUGAUUGCACAAUUUAUCAGUAAAGCAACUUACUUAUCCUCGGAAUUAAAAGGGUGUCGCCUUAUUUCCUCGAAGAUCUGGUGACAGAGAGGGGAGUGUAGCAUGUAAUGUAAAGUGCGGGGGCAACUCUUGGGUAGUAAAGAAUGUAAAAAUGACAACCCCCGUGCGAGCUAAAGUUUAUAUGGCUGAAGAGAUUGAUGAAGUUGUGGAAAGCUACCACCAGGGAUCCAACUUGAUAGUGAACUGAACAGCAAUUAAGUGAGAUUAAUGUUCAAAUUGCGCUGACAGAACGUAUCAAAAACACUACGCCACGCCCUGCUUUACCAUCUAUCGGUGUCUUGAGGUAACCGGUAGAAAGUUGCUGGUAAAGGACAAUCUUCGCAGAGAAGAACAUUUUCAUCUGGCCUAAGUAGACAUACUGACGUAUGAUCCGGAACUCGGGAGAGUCUCUCUUGACUAAAAUCCAAGUAUUUUUAGUCAGAGAGCUUUCGGAGACUUCAUAGUAGCUUUUCCAGGAAGGUAAAGGGAGUCAGCCUCAGACACGCCUAAAAAAUCAUCAAGCAUAGUACGUAGCAUAGCAAAGUAAAAGACUGUUUAGCACGAAUAGUAUAGAAGGGAAAAAGAAACUGAAUCGGUAUGAGGAACAUAGCCCUAGUGCGGGUUCCAACUAUGUCCUCAUAAUCAAGGGCCGCCCAAACCAAGCGAAAACUAUCGUAUAUUUAUCUUUUUGAUCAAAUAAUUUUAUCCUUUAGGCAAAUUCCUUAGUAUUGGUUAACAAUACUCGGGUAAGGAAUGAGAAACCCACGUCAAUAUAUGGCAGGAUAACAAGGCAGCAGGCAAAAAUUCCAAGCAGGAGUAGCCGUCUGUCCCAUAGGCCAAUUGAUUUCUUAAGAAUUAUUAAAAUUAUUUGGUUCAAAAAGAAAUCAAGGGGCAGAGCCUUCGGAGGAAUGCACAUAAAAUACGCGAGAGAUCGGACGCGCUGAUCAACCCCUGGGGUUGAACUAAUUGAAGAUUGAGUAAAAGAUCAAGAAUGCAGGGUUUUUCUACCUGAGCACAAAGAGCAACUAGCAUUCAUAACCACCAAAAAGGUCUGUAGACUAGGGUGAAUGGAAGACUGUAAACUCUCUUCACAACGAGUGGACCAGGAUUACCAGAUCACCGACAAAAAGACAGCUCAGAGAAUCAUAACGACGUAAAAGUAAAGGAUCGGGGGAGUAUCACAUUUGAGGUACCAAAUUCUCGUAGGCAAUCAGUCGAAGUUUUUUAAAAAGGAGGUUGUUGAGCUGAAUGUAGCUAUAAAAUUGAUCCCAAUAAACUAAGUCCUUCACAGAAGAUCAAAUAGUAACUCAAUUCUUACCCUACCCGUCUCGUAUAGGAGUCUGAGGGGGAGAGCCGUAUGCAUUGAAAGGUGCAAGUACGGUUCGGAGGGGGGGAUACUGACCUUCGUAAGGGAAAACCACAAAUAAGGCAUCUUCGAAGAUAUUAACCGGAUCCCUACCCUACAAAAAAUGGAUAAAAAAUAUAUGGAUUGUAGCCUGAAACUCGGCUGCUUGAAUAAGAAAUUGCUAGUAAUCGUGAAUCACCAUGUCACGGUGAAUAUAACCUUGGAUUGGUACUAACCACUCGUCACAUGCUGAAAGUUGUAUGCGCAAUAAGUUUGCUUUCUUAUUUUAAGUCCAUGUAAGAACGGAUUACAUUCUUUUAAUAGGGUUCUUCGUAUGCGUGACGGCAAUUGGUGUUAAGUCGAAAUACGGUUCGUGUAGUGGAAGUUGCACGGGGCUAAUUAACUUUAACAUAAAAUAGGUCCGUAUGUGUGUCCUGCUCUGCUCUUUAGAGUUCACAUACGCAUUAUUUAUAGCUAAAACUAUAAGUAUUGUCAAAGACAAGGGACCGGCC
RNAcentral lists this ribosomal RNA (3452 nucleotides) under Juglanconis oblonga. Lineage: Eukaryota; Fungi; Ascomycota; Sordariomycetes; Diaporthales; Juglanconidaceae. The record is from RNAcentral.